AUGUCGGGACUAGGAGGGCCGGCCGGCCCGGGGCGGGGGGUGGUCGGGCUCAGGGAACUGCAACUCCCAGCAGCCCCCAGGUACGGGGCGUGGCAGGAGAGCUGGGCGAGCCAAAGGCGACCGGAAGGAUCAUUCUAGUCCAGCCCUUCGCUUUGCCCGGAGGAAAGCCACGGGCCAAUUUCGUCGAGUCUCACUGAGCCUUAAUCGUCGGCGAGUCCUAGGCGCGAAGUUUCUCGGCCUGGAGGAGGGGGUCACGCGAAGUGCCAGAUGCAGGCGGGGAAGCCCAUCCUCUAUUCCUAUUUCCGAAGCUCCUGCUCAUGGAGAGUUCGAAUUGCUCUGGCCUUGAAAGGCAUUGACUACGAGACGGUGCCCAUCAAUCUCAUAAAGGAUGGGGGCCAACAGUUCUCUAAGGACUUCCAGGCACUGAAUCCCAUGAAGCAGGUGCCAGCCUUGAAGAUUGAUGGAAUCACCAUUUACCAGUCACUGGCCAUCAUUGAGUAUCUUGAGGAGACGCGUCCCACUCCGCAACUUCUGCCUCAGGACCCAAAGAAGAGGGCCAGCGUGCGUAUGAUUUCUGACCUCAUCGCUGGUGGCAUCCAGCCCCUGCAGAACCUGUCUGUCCUGAAGCAAGUAGGAGAGGAGAUCCAGCUGACCUGGGCCCAGAAUGCCAUCACUUCUGGCUUUAACGCCCUGGAGCAGAUCCUACAGAGCACAGCAGGCAUCUACUGUGUAGGAGAUGAGGUGACCAUGGCUGAUCUGUGCUUGGUGCCUCAGGUGGCAAAUGCUGAAAGAUUCAAGGUGGAUCUCACCCCCUACCCUACCAUCAGCUCCAUCAACAAGAGGCUGCUGGUCUUGGAGGCCUUCCAGGUGUCUCACCCCUGCCGGCAGCCAGAUACACCCACCGAGCUGAGGGCCUAGCUCCCAAAUCCUGCCCCGUUGGCACAGGGCCAUAGGAGCAGAAGCUGGGUGGGCUGAAGAGGCCUGGAAGCAAUUAUGUCAGUGCUGGUUACAGGGGUCCAGUCAAAAUAAACUCCAAAGCCAAUGUCAUAGUCAUCGGUCGCAAACUCCCAGCAGACACGCUUCCCCUCUGGAUGAGUAGGUACCCGGAUGGUCACCACCUCACCACGCUUCACCACCAGACGGCUGUUCUUCUCUUUGCCCAGCUUGCUUUUGAAUUCCUUCACCUUGGCAAAGGUCCAGAUGCAUGGAGGAGCCAUCAGAGGUGGGGAGACUGAAAGGACAGGCAGCUUAACACUGAGAAACCAUGAGGAAACAUGAGUACCCCAGGCAUUUUGCUAAGAGAGGUUGGCACAGUCAGACAUUCUUUCUACUGGCUUCUUUGACUUCCUUUCACAUGUCAUUUUCUUUCCUUCCAUUUGUCUGUCUGCCUGCCUUUCUUUAUCUACUGGAAACAAACCACCUCCUAUACUCCCAAAGGUCUCACCUUUCCUGUGGUCCCCCAGAAGAUCUGCAGAUUCCAAAUCAGCUGCAAGAAUAUCUAUAGCUCCUGUGUGUUCAGAUUGGAUCAUAACGAUGUCCCCAGACCUCUGUGGAACUUGAUACUUGGCCAUCUGCACAACAGAACUCUGGUUAAAGGAGUAUUAGAGUGGCAGAUUCUAAUUAAUCUCUUUUUGCAUGAAGGCUGCCCCACCCCUGCUCUAUUAUCUCCGCUAUCCCCACUCAAAGCUUAAUGUACUAGUCAAUGUUCCCUUCUCUUUCUUCCAAAUAGGAGUUGCUAAUAAAUUCUACUAAUUUUUUAAA
This is an RNA transcript of Nomascus leucogenys (northern white-cheeked gibbon), 1761 nucleotides long. It is a transcript of the gene named glutathione S-transferase zeta 1, with no coding region annotated. The transcript is spliced from 10 exons. The record is from RefSeq and is a predicted model, not a curated record. NCBI's taxonomy places the organism in Eukaryota, Metazoa, Chordata, Mammalia, Primates, Hylobatidae.